GACGAACGCUGGCGGCGUGCUUAACACAUGCAAGUCGAACGGAAAGGCCCUGCUUUUGUGGGGUGCUCGAGUGGCGAACGGGUGAGUAACACGUGAGUAACCUGCCCUUGACUUUGGGAUAACUUCAGGAAACUGGGGCUAAUACCGGAUAGGAGCUCCUGCUGCAUGGUGGGGGUUGGAAAGUUUCGGCGGUUGGGGAUGGACUCGCGGCUUAUCAGCUUGUUGGUGGGGUAGUGGCUUACCAAGGCUUUGACGGGUAGCCGGCCUGAGAGGGUGACCGGCCACAUUGGGACUGAGAGACGGCCCAGACUCCUACGGUAGGCAGCAGUGGGGAAUAUUGCACAAUGGGCGGAAGCCUGAUGCAGCAACGCCGCGUGCGGGAUGACGGCCUUCGGGGUGUAAACCGCUUUCGCCUGUGACGAAGCGUGAGUGACGGUAAUGGGUAAAGAAGCACCGGCUAACUACGUG
This 468-nucleotide ribosomal RNA is filed under the name uncultured bacterium. RNAcentral's name for it is "partial 16S ribosomal RNA". It matches the Rfam family "Bacterial small subunit ribosomal RNA", at positions 28 to 507 of the family's 1533-position model. The record is from RNAcentral.